This 792-nucleotide ribosomal RNA is filed under the name uncultured Staphylococcus sp. RNAcentral's name for it is "bacterial SSU rRNA". It matches the Rfam family "Bacterial small subunit ribosomal RNA", at positions 96 to 870 of the family's 1533-position model. The record is from RNAcentral. Lineage: Bacteria; Bacillati; Bacillota; Bacilli; Caryophanales; Staphylococcaceae.
CGGCGGACAGGGUGAGCUAACAACGUGGAUAACCUACCUAUAACGACUGGGAUAACUUCGGGCAAACCGGAGCUAAUACCGGAUAAUAUAUUGAACCGCAUGGUUCAAUAGUGAAACGACGGUCUUUGCUGUCACUUAUAGAUGGAUCCGCGCCCGCAUUAGCUAGUUGGUAGGGUAACGGUUACCAAGGCGACGAUGCGUAGCCGACCUGAGAGGGUGAUCGGCCACACUGGAACUGAGACACGGUCCAGACUCCUACGGGAGGCAGCAGUAGGGAAUCUUCCGCAAUGGGCGAAAGCCUGACGGAGCAACGCCGCGUGAGUGAUGAAGGUCUUCGGAUCGUAAACUCUGUCUAUUAGGGAAGAACAAAUGUGUAAGUAACUAUGCACGUCUUGACGGUACCUAAUCAGAAAGCCACGGCUAACUACGUGCCAGCAGCCGCGGUAAUACGUAGGUGGCAAGCGUUAUCCGGAAUUAUUGGGCGUAAAGCGCGCGUAGGCGGUUUUUUAAGUCUGAUGUGAAAGCCCACGGCUCAACCGUGGAGGGUCAUUUGGAAACUGGAAAACUUGAGUGCAGAAGAGGAAAGUGGAAUUCCAUGUGUAGCGGUGAAAUGCGCAGAGAUAUGGAGGAACACCAGUGGCGAAGGCGACUUUCUGGUCUGUAACUGACACUGAUGUGCGAAAGCGUGGGGAUCAAACAGGAUUAGAUACCCUGGUAGUCCACGCCGUAAACGAUGAAUGCUAGGUGUUGGGGGUCAAACCUCGGUGCCGAAGUUACACAGUUAAGCAUUCC